This is a long non-coding RNA of Telopea speciosissima, 171 nucleotides long. RefSeq lists it as uncharacterized. NCBI's taxonomy places the organism in Eukaryota, Viridiplantae, Streptophyta, Magnoliopsida, Proteales, Proteaceae. The transcript has 3 exons. The record is from RefSeq and is a predicted model, not a curated record.
GGAGAGGAGAGCAGUUUUCAUUAGCAAUGGAGAAAGGGUUACAAGCUCUCAUCCUCAUGCCUCUUUGUGUUUACAAAGAAUUCCCCGUAGCCCUAACCCCCAUCACUAAUAAUUUAAAGGGAAAACAAAGAGUUACAAAUUUCCGUAAUUAACCCCAUGUAAACCCUAAAA